Agelaius phoeniceus (red-winged blackbird) is the source of this 1144-nucleotide long non-coding RNA. RefSeq lists it as uncharacterized. Lineage: Eukaryota; Metazoa; Chordata; Aves; Passeriformes; Icteridae. The record is from RefSeq and is a predicted model, not a curated record.
GGCCGCGCUCGCCCCUCCCCGGGCCCCAGCGAGCGGCAGUGGGAGGGCGGCGGGCUCGGGCCGCAGCGCAUCGUUCAAAAGAAACCAAGCGUCGAGAGACAACGAAAUGGAGGAAAAUGGCCGAGCCCCGGCCGGCUGCGAAAGGCCGGUGGAGGACGCCAGGCCCCGAUCCGCAGAGAGCCCGAGCCAUCGCUGCCAAACACAUCCCUGCUCCUGGGGGAAAGCAAGAUGGGGCCGGAGGAUGGCUGCUUUCCCUGCAGUGCCCCUCCAUCUUACAGAUUUCAGAGCAGUCAGGGCUUCCCCUCGUAGUAAAGAAAUUUAAAUUUGCCUUGAGCUGAUGGGUAAAAUAUUUAAGCUCAAGAUGCCAGUUCUCCCCUCACUCCGUGUUGCCUGUCCACCAUCAGCAGGCUCCCUGCAGAAAGCCAGGGUGCAGUGGUUGUGUGUGGAACCUGCUUGGUGCAGAGUGGGAAUUUCACCAAACCAAAACCCAAAAACCCAUACACAAAAAUAAAGCCUGCUCUGUCCUAUUAAAAAAAAAAAAUGCACAUACAGGAUUAGUAAGAGCAGAUGUAACUUGAAAACCAAGAGCUAAAUUGAUUUAUAGCCAUGGUUACUCGAAAUGCUCAGAGUUUAAUCUAUUCAUAGAAAUGCUCUAGAAAUCCCACAGGAUUCCAAUGGAAUAAAAAGGAGCCGUGCUCUUAGGCAGGCAUUAUUUAUACACCUUGCUCCUAAAGCAACAGCUUUCCCAUGCAGUUGGAAGAGUUGUGGGUGGCAGCACACAAUGGCCCAAGUAACCUUGUGGUUAACACUUUAUGAGCUAGAUGACAGAUCCUACCCAAAAUGGGCUCAGCAUGAAGAAUUUUCCCAUUGAAAAUACUCUUAACAGAGAUGGUGAUUUAAAGAAAUUUCAUUCUUUAAUCCCUUCAAUGAACUCAUGAGAUGCUUCACUAUUUCACAGCCACAGAACUGAGUGAGAAGGACACUGAGGAUUUCUGGAGCCCAAGAGUUUCUGUGGGAGACAUCAGCACCUGCAGAGCCAAAGGGUACCACUGGCACCAAUUUUGGGAGCAUUUACUGUGAGAGCAAGAAUCUGGUUCACUGUAUGUGAUGGGAUAAAUAAAUCCCUAAGAGCAGCUAAGAACAA